RNAcentral lists this ribosomal RNA (254 nucleotides) under uncultured bacterium. Its description in RNAcentral is "partial 16S ribosomal RNA". It matches the Rfam family "Bacterial small subunit ribosomal RNA", at positions 524 to 776 of the family's 1533-position model. The record is from RNAcentral.
UACGUAGGGUGCAAGCGUUAAUCGGAAUUACUGGGCGUAAAGCGUGCGCAGGCGGUUAUGUAAGACAGGUGUGAAAUCCCCGGGCUUAACCCUGGGAACUGCAUUUGUGACUGCAUAGCUAGAGUACGGUAGAGGGGGAUGGAAUUCCGCGUGUAGCAGUGAAAUGCGUAGAGAUCCGGAAGAACACCGGUGGCGAAGGCGGCCUGCUGGGACAAUGCUGACGCUGAGGCGCGACAGCGUGGGGAGCAAACAGG